CCGACCUUAGCUCAGUUGGUAGAGCGGAGGACUGUAGUAGACGUAGAUUAUCCUUAGGUCACUGGUUCGAAUCCGGUAGGUCGGA
This is a transfer RNA of Arabidopsis thaliana (thale cress), 85 nucleotides long. It matches the Rfam family "tRNA". Rfam says of the family: Transfer RNA (tRNA) molecules are approximately 80 nucleotides in length. The record is from Rfam. NCBI's taxonomy places the organism in Eukaryota, Viridiplantae, Streptophyta, Magnoliopsida, Brassicales, Brassicaceae.